This 5901-nucleotide long non-coding RNA is filed under the name Pelobates cultripes (western spadefoot toad). Lineage: Eukaryota; Metazoa; Chordata; Amphibia; Anura; Pelobatidae. The record is from RNAcentral.
UGGCAUUAUGUUUUGUUGUUUUAUUUAUUUUAUCUGUAAAAUAAGGCUUGAAAUUACAUAGAUUAAGUAUAACAAAGGAUAAUUUCCCAUAGUUCUAGACAUGGAUAGGAAAUAGAGUUGGAGUAUACAUAAUGGUAAUGAACACCCUGAUAGGUCUUUUAAUGAGAAACUCCAAUGCAGUACAAUUCUAAAUGAGAAGCACAUUAACAUCCCUGGGUACAAAUUCUCCAUCAUUACAAAAUGAAAUAAACAACAGGGAACACAGUGCGCAGCAAGAAGCCGCCAGAGUGAAUUAAGCAUGUGGGUUUAAAGCUAAAAGCGAAGCCAAAAUUUUAAUUUUAUGAGAUCUGUAUCCUGAAACAGGUAGGCAGGUACUGGUGUUCUCCCUGAAUAGUUUGAAAACAAGACACAUUUACAAUAAAUAGCACAAUCACUAAGCAUCUCAUAGAAUGUUCGUACUUAGUGUGCAGUCCAUAAGGUGACUUUGCUUCUGUAUUUUGUAGGUAAGACUGAGUAAAGUGAAUAGGUGUGUGGAUGGUUAAACAUGCAUCACAGAGGUUGGCAGUAACUUGAUUUUCCAUCACUUCCCUGCCUGCACUCUGUAUCAAAAAAAAACUUUGUUUAGCCCUGUUUUAUGCACAAUCAUAUUUUUUGAAUGUAGUGGAUAGUCAUCAUCAUUUAGCAGAUUAUGAUGAUUGGUUAAGAGUGUCAGCUGACGGCUUUCACAGAGCCCAUUGCUGUUGUGAAUUUCUACAAUGACUGUAAGGAAGUGAGUAACCUCUACCUUAACCACACCUCCAGCAAGGCUGGACUGUGGGUGCCCAGGGACCCUCAUUGAGUAUUAAACUGCUCAAAUUUUUUUUAGCACUGAAUGGAGCGACAGUGCCAGGGGACUCCAAGCACUAAAAUCAAUUCAAUGAGAUGAAAUGUUUAUAGAGUACAGUAUGCUAUGCAUUUAAAUACUGCUUGUUUUUUGUAUUAAUUAUUCUUAUCUAUGUUUAAGUUUUUUUUUUUUUUACAAAGGCAAACUAUGGGUUUUUGAGGGCAUCCUACUUCCUUAGACUUAAAGGGACGCUAUAGUCACCAGAACAACUACAGCUUAUUGAAUUUGUUCUGGUGAGUAGUAUCAUUACCUUCAGGCUUUUUGCUGUAAACACUCUCUUUUCAGAGAAAAUGCAGUGUUAACAUUACAGCCUAGUGAUAACUUCACUGGCCACUCCUCAGAUGUCUGUUAGAGAUCCUUCCUGGUUCAUGGCUGCCUAAAAUGCCUCCAAACAUUCAGUGUCUUCUCCCUCUGCAUGCAGAAACUGAACUUUCCUCAUAGAGAUUCAUUAAUUCAAUUCAUCUCUACGAAGAGAUGCUGAUUGGCCAGGGCUGUGUUUGAAUUGUGCUGGCUCUGCCCCUGAUCUGCCUCUUUGUCAGUCUCAGACAAUCCUAUGGGGAAGCAUUGUGAUUGGAUCAGGCUACCACUUCUGAUGAUGUCAGCAAGCAGUGGGCAGGUCUAAAGGAAACAGCCAACAAAUAAGCAGCUGCAGACUUGAAUACAAGUAAGAUUUUCGAUAUUUAGGGAGGCAUAAGGGGACCCAGGGGGGCCAUGUUUGUGUUCCUGACCCUAUAGUGCUCCUUUAAUAGAGGGUGCUGGACUCCAAUGGAACAGAUGGUACAAAUUAUGCAUUACCGAAUGUAAUCUUUCAGAAAAUACCAUAUAAGUGGCAUUUAUGUCACCACCGUACAAUAAGCUAUCUUUGCUGUCUUUAGAUUGUAAGCCCGUUUGGGCAGAGCCCUCUUUAUCCACUGUUCCUGUAUGCCAGCAGUGUUUUGUAUGCAUUAAAAAAAAAUUUGUUUACCAAUUGUACAGCACAGCAGAAUAUGUUGGCACUAUAUAAAUAUUUGUAACUUGCAGACACUGAGAUAUGAGCAUUGCUCAAGUCACUAAGACAGUAGUGAUCAGGAGUAUGACAACUUAAAGAAAUAGUGACCUCAGUAGGACUAGGAGGGUUGUGAUUAAUUGACUGUAGAAGUCCAAGUAAAACGAUUAGGAUGAACAUGAGUCAGAAUUACAAAAUAAUACAGCUCAAGGAGGAUAUGGAAACAGGGCUGAUUAUAAAUUAUAGUUAGUCCAAUUAUUUUAUAUGUCUCCAGUAGUAUAUUCCUUUGUGACUAACGGUUUCUCAGGACUGCUAUGAUAUCACAGGUAACUAUAUGUAUAAAGUGGAACUAUAAUCACAGCUAAAUGUACUUUUUAAAUUUGAAAGUGAUUUAUACCAGAAAAACUAACUAAGCUGCUUUAGAAUACUGACAAAACUACUUACAAGCAACUCAAAACUCAAUUUCCUGUGUUUUAAUUUAGCAUUAUGGGAAGCAGUAACAAACUAUGCUGUUUAUAUAUAGACUAAUUUAAGUACUGGAAAUAGCUGUUGUUGAAAUAGCAAGAAAUAUUUCUGUUGUUAUAAAUAUUCUUCAAAAACAUGUGAUUUUUAGCAGACACAAAUGAAAAAGAUGAAUAAUGUCUUUAGAACUAAUUCUAACUAUAAUUAAAGCAAAUUUAAAAUGAACCUGUUGUAUAGUAGGGGAAAAAAACAAAUACCUUCUAAAAUGGGUAGAAAUACAUUAUCUUGUGAUAAUUAAGUGCCAAAUGUAAAGAUUAACAGGGUUAUUCACUAAAGUGAAAAUAUCUGGGAAUUCAAAAUGAUUUAGAAAAUUAAGACCAAAAUAGUCGAAUUAGAAACAUUCUUGAAGUCAUUUCUGAUUUCAGUUUGGCUACUUGGGCCUUAAAUUUCAAAUUCACUUUGAAUUCCCAGCAAGUCUCACUUUAGAGAAUAACCCUGUAAAUAAUAUUUUAGGCAAUGAAUCCCUGAGAACAUCUCUAUAACGUUUGGCAAAUAAAAGUAACUGUGUGAGUGAAGCCAUGUUUUCAAAGAUAUGUCAAAGGCAACGAGGCAGGGGGCAAAAUUCUAGAUGAGACUUGGCACUGAGUUCAUUUUCACAUAUAAUACACAAGAUGCGUCAAGAACACAAUGCUCUCCAGCUGUUGAUGAACUACUGGACUGCUCCUAUGAUCAGUGAAGGACAUAGGUUCCCUAUCCAUGCCUUAAAGUAUCGAUAUAAUGUAGGGGUGUCAACAUUUUAAAUAAAUCUUCUUGUUCAAGAGACUAAAUCUACUAAAUUAAAUCUGUGGUAAGUGGAAAAAUUGAGACGAAAAAGCUAAUCGGGAAAAACUCUACAACUCUAUAAUAGCAACCAUUGGCUGCAGUUUUUCCAUUCACAUUUAUUUUGUGAAAUACAUUUUUAGUUAAUAGCGUCAUAUCCUCUGCUCUGUUUAUAAUCUCUCCCUCCCUUCAUCUCCUAGUGUGUGUCUGUGUCUCUUUGUGUUGUAUAAUGACUGUAGUGUUUGCUGGCUCUGUGUAAUGUAAGUGUAAUGCUUGUUGGCUGUGUGUAAUGCUGUGUGUUCCCCCUUCCAUGCACAGCUUUCUACAGGAACGUGGUCUGUGGUCCAUUGGGGGUUAAAGUAUCUGGUGGUCUAGUGGGAGAAGGUGUGAACUGCAGACCACUCUCCGUUGUAGCACCAGCACUCCGAGAGUGCUGAAUCCCAGUGGCUGCACUCUGACUCAUCGAAUGCCAGGACAUGAGGAAGUGAAUAUUGUGGUCUGCACCUGCUGGAGGAGCGAAGCACAUGCUCCCUGCUUUGACCCUGUCCUAUCUAGCGGAGGCUGGGCUAACAUCCCCCAAAAAACCUGCCUGCCCAGUGCCUGGAACUGCAUUUGCACUAGGAAUUCCCCAUCCCUGUACCAACCAUGUGUUCUGCAGACAUUAUAAUGUAUUUUGCUAGAACAAUGAGUGCCCAGAACAACAAAAUUAGCACAUCUAACAAAAAAACCCAUACAAUGGUAUGUUUUCAAAGACACCCUGAAAAUGUGUAUGGUCGUAUUUCUAACUAAAGAGCUUUUGGUUACCAGUUUCAAUGCUAAAUGCAAGUAUAUAGCUGUAGCAUAUAUUUCUUGUUAAUAUUCUGAUAUUUAUUCUGUCAGUGUUGGGGUGUCUAUCUUGGGAAAGCAAUGACAAGCAGAUAGAAAUUGUAGCGAACAGAAACUCGCCACAGGCUCCCGGAGGAGCCUUUUUGCCAGUCUCCUGCCUCAAGACUAUGGGCCAUGCGAAAAAGCUCAUAAAAUACUUUGUUCUUGCCCAUUCUCUAUUCUCAGGAACCGAACAGGCACACGAACCAUGGACCACCCGGGAGCUUGUUAAGCCUAAUUGACAGUUUGUAACACGUUCCACCGCAGUGUUCUAAUUGUUCGUCUGGGUGGCUGUUGUUCGCAUGAACAACCAUGAGGUGGCGGCCAUCCUGUGCGCAUGAACGCAGGCAGCGGUGUUUGGUCGUCGAGUUCAUGGAACUGAAAUUGGACACAGAAACUCCCGAACACCGCUGAACUUCCAGCAUCGCCUGCGUUUGGUUCUACACAACUUAGAAGGGCGCUGUUCGGUGGAAACGUUCACAUGAACAAGGUGAACAAGCUCCAGGGUAAGACUAUUUACUAUGUUCGGUAGUUUGUUUGUUUUAUAAACUACUGAACUAGACCGACUGCUAGCCAUGAUUUCCUGAAACGGUUUUGGGCAUAGGACCAUGUGCAUGGUCGGUCAAAUAAUUAGCUUCCAUGAAAAUCCCGAACCCCUGAACCAAUCUGGGUGAUUUUUGGAUAUGUUGGUCACCCAGAUCGGGGCUAUCAGGGGAUGUAAAUCUUGUGGGGUUUUCCUGUGUUUUGGGGGUACUUGAGGUAUUGUUAUAUUACAUGUUUUCUGUACUGGGAGAUAAUUUAAUUUAGAUGUGUACUUUGCAACAGUUUCAUCUCAGGUCCAGUGGGGAAUGUCCCUGAAAUGUAAUUAAGGAAACCCCUUGCAUGGGGAGUUACAUAAAAGGCCAUGUGUGGCUCACAAUAAAUCAGUUCAUCCCCAGCAUAGAGCCUCAUCUCAUGUGUGUUGGAGAAAGCUAUACCAGCUAUAUCCCUGCUCUUUGGAUUGCUGUAUGACUAGCUACUUUCAGGGCUACACGGCUAUAUUCUCUUGCAGGAGAGGUCUUCCCACUGGGAGCUGGAUCCAGGGUGGGAAGGGACAGCGGGACCCCAGCCAAGCUGCGGCAGCUUUGGGCUGGAAGUGCUUAUGGUGUCCCGGUGCAGUGCUUAUGGUACUCAGUGAUAACUAGGAAGCAUGAUUGGCGGAGGUACCCAGUUGGGGUACCAGGCGGUCCGCCACAGAAAUUAUUAUGGUAAGGAAACAAUAGUUAUAAAACUCAUGUUCAUUUCUCAGUAGAAAAAAAAAGAGAUUGCCAUUACUGACCUCACUUAUGUAUAUUCAUAUUAUUUCAGUUGUUAAGCUUGUAAGUUUGCAGAAUGACCGCAAUCACUUAAACCAAUCAGUCUUGGGCUUAGUCAAAGUAUCUCGAGAUGCAGCAAUUUGGGGGGAAAAACAACAUAUAAAAAUAACAUAAUCUCUGAUUAAUAUGUUUAGCGAGCGCUCUGUGAGCCUUGUGACCUGGCCUACUUGCCACGGAGCACCAUAAUCAGACUAAAAUCUCUAUAAAAGUGUUUGUUUUUUCUAACAAUUUUGAAAAUGUACUGUGACCUACUUUUACCGUGUUAGCAGGUUGCUGAAUUGUAAACAUCUUAAAUAAUAUCUGAAAAUGUUUAAAAAAAAAAACACCUGCCACCUGUCAUCCCCUCCUUCCCUUACUGCCACCUGUCACUCCCUCCUUCCCUCACUCUGUCACCCCCUACUUCCCUCACUGCCACCUGUAACCUCCGCACUGCCAUGUGUCACCUCCUACUCCCCUCACUGCCAUCUGUCACCGCCUGCUUCCCUCACUGCCACCUGUCACCCCCUGCUUCCCUCACUGCCACCUGUAACCCC